This 303-nucleotide unclassified non-coding RNA is filed under the name uncultured fungus. RNAcentral's name for it is "partial contains 5.8S ribosomal RNA, internal transcribed spacer 2, and large subunit ribosomal RNA". The record is from RNAcentral. Lineage: Eukaryota; Fungi.
AACGCACAUUGCACCCGGUGGUAUUCUGCCGGGUAUGCCUGUUCGAGCGUCAUUUCUGCCCUCAGGUCUCUCUUCUCUCCCUUUCAAAGGGGGGGGGGGAGGAGAUUCCUGGUGUUGGGGAUCUACAGGCGGUUCAACUGCCUGUAGCCCUCUAAAUGCAUCGGCGUGCGUGCUGUACGUUUUCCCUCUGCGUAGUGGAUUUUUCUUAUCUCGCAUCGGGACGCAGCGCUGCCCAGCCGCUAAAUCAAACUUGCUUAAACGAAGUUUGACCUCGAAUCAGGUAGGGUUACCCGCUGAACUUAA